Molecule: ribosomal RNA, 280 nt
Filed under: uncultured bacterium
Lineage: Bacteria
Description: partial 16S ribosomal RNA
Rfam family: Bacterial small subunit ribosomal RNA
Source: RNAcentral
UGCCAGCCGCCGCGGUAAUACGGAGGGGGUUAGCGUUGUCCGGAUUUAUUGGGCGUAAAGAGCUCGUAGGCGGCUCAACAAGUCGGCCGUGAAAACCUGAGGCUCAACCUCAGGACGCCGGUCGAAACUGUUGUGGCUAGGGUUCGGUAGAGGAGAGUGGAAUUCCCGGUGUAGCGGUGAAAUGCGCAGAUAUCUGGAGGAACAUCAGUGGCGAAGGCGGCUCCCUGGCCAAAGACUGACGCUCAUGUGCGAAAGUGUGGGUAGCGAACAGGAUUAGAUA